Molecule: long non-coding RNA, 814 nt
Filed under: Brassica napus (rape)
Lineage: Eukaryota; Viridiplantae; Streptophyta; Magnoliopsida; Brassicales; Brassicaceae
Description: long non-coding RNA (BNAP_LNC015142)
Source: RNAcentral
CUCGGAUAUUCCGACGAUUCUUGGCUCCGUCUGGAUUUCCGUCGGAUUUCGCCUAGUUUUCUUGUAGUGGGUACCCAUCGAGAUAUGAUUGGGAUGUAUGUGGCAGAGAUUAAGUCAGAAGAUCCUGGAAGUCAAUUGUGGGAAACGAGAUGAAUGUGGUCCUUAGUUUGAAGGGGAAAAUGUGAGAUAUCAAACAAAGUCCCACAUUAAAAAUUAGACAAAGGAGAAUCUAAUAUAUAAAGAGAUGUUCAACUCUAAUUAGUACGAGACCUUUUCGGAAGGAACCCAAAAGUAAAUCCAUGCGGGCUGUCUUUAUGGCCCAAAAGUGGACAAUAUCAUACUAAUCAGAUAAUAGAGAGUUGGACAUGGGCUUUCACAAUCCCAACAAAUGUGUGGGGGAGAAUAACAUGACAAUUAGAGUAUAAGGUCAAAAGCACCUAAAACUAUUCCAAAUGAAAGACGGAUGAACCAUCAACGUAUACGUUUAUUGUCCACAUAUUCAUAUGCACCGAGUGUUCUAUUCCAUAUCACUAAAAUAGUAUAGGAUUAUAACCUCACCUACAACUCCUAAAUAGUAAACCCUAAAUCCAAAUAUAAACCAUAAACCCAAAUAUAAACCAUAAAUCCAAAUAUAAACCAUAAAUUCAAAUAGAAUGGAACAAAAUAAAUGAUAUAAUACAUAUUGGUGAAAUUAUGAAAUGUCUAUGAUUCCAUAGAAGAAGUUAAUGCCGACCCCAACCAUACCCCCUCACUUUAUAAAUGCGAAACCCUAAACUCUAAUCACUAAACUCUAACCCAAAUAUAAACCCUAGAC